Molecule: unclassified non-coding RNA, 317 nt
Filed under: fungal sp.
Lineage: Eukaryota; Fungi
Description: partial internal transcribed spacer region
Rfam family: Eukaryotic small subunit ribosomal RNA (bases 1-46)
Source: RNAcentral
AAGUCGUAACAAGGUUUCCGUAGGUGAACCUGCGGAAGGAUCAUUAGCAAGAUUGCCUCCUCUCGCUCAUCAUUGCCCCCUCCAUUUUGUGGAUGGUGGUGAUGGUGGGAAGGGGAAGAAAGGCAAGUGCCAUCCUUGUGUUAUGUUUUUCAUGUGUAUGUGUGUGUGUGUGUUGCGCGAUUCAUUCGCGCAUCCGCGCGCAUCACUUUUACCAUUCAACACUCUUUACCAUUCAUAUUCUGAACAAACCUUGUCAUUGCUCGCAAGAGCAUGCACAAACCAACCGAAAACUGCCAGCAAUGGAUCACUCGGUUCUC